GAUGAACGCUAGCGGCAGGCUUAACACAUGCAAGUCGAGGGGCAGCACGUCUUCGGAUGGUGGCGACCGGCGCACGGGUGAGUAACGCGUAUGCAAUCUACCUUUUACAGGGGCAUAGCCCGGGGAAACCCGGAUUAAUACCCCAUGGUACCAUUAUAUAGCAUUAUAUUAUGGUUAAAGUUUCGGCGGUAAAAGAUGAGCAUGCGUCCUAUUAGCUUGAUGGUAAGGUAACGGCUUACCAUGGCUAUGAUAGGUAGGGGUCCUGAGAGGGAGACCCCCCACACUGGUACUGAGACACGGACCAGACUCCUACGGGAGGCAGCAGUGAGGAAUAUUGGACAAUGGGCGAGAGCCUGAUCCAGCCAUGCCGCGUGCAGGAAGACGGCCCUAUGGGUUGUAAACUGCUUUUAUACGGGAAGAAACACCCCUUCGUGAAGGGACUUGACGGUACCGUAUGAAUAAGGAUCGGCUAACUCCGUGCCAGCAGCCGCGGUAAUACGGAGGAUCC
Molecule: ribosomal RNA, 508 nt
Filed under: uncultured bacterium
Lineage: Bacteria
Description: bacterial SSU rRNA
Rfam family: Bacterial small subunit ribosomal RNA
Source: RNAcentral